GGAAGCGUGGCCGAGUGGUUGAAGGCUUCGGUCUUGAAAGCCGGCGAAGGGGUAAUCUUUCCGUGAGUUCGAAUCUCACCGCUUCCGCCA
RNAcentral lists this transfer RNA (90 nucleotides) under Pandoraea commovens. RNAcentral's name for it is "Pandoraea sp. LMG 31010 tRNA-Ser". It matches the Rfam family "tRNA". From Rfam's summary of the family: Transfer RNA (tRNA) molecules are approximately 80 nucleotides in length. Their secondary structure includes four short double-helical elements and three loops (D, anti-codon, and T loops). Further hydrogen bonds mediate the characteristic L-shaped molecular structure. tRNAs have two regions of fundamental functional importance: the anti-codon, which is responsible for specific mRNA codon recognition, and the 3' end, to which the tRNAs corresponding amino acid is attached (by aminoacyl-tRNA synthetases). tRNAs cope with the degeneracy of the genetic code in two manners: having more than one tRNA (with a specific anti-codon) for a particular amino acid; and 'wobble' base-pairing, i.e. permitting non-standard base-pairing at the 3rd anti-codon position. Lineage: Bacteria; Pseudomonadati; Pseudomonadota; Betaproteobacteria; Burkholderiales; Burkholderiaceae. The record is from RNAcentral.